CACAAGCGGUGGAGCAUGUGGUUUUAAUUCGAAGCAACGCGCAGAACCUUACCUACCCUUGACAUGUCUAGUAUGGUUUCCGGAGACGGAUUCCUUUCAGUUCGGCUGGCUAGAACACAGGUGCUGCAUGGCUGUCGUCAGCUCGUGUCGUGAGAUGUUGGGUUAAGUCCCGCAACGAGCGCAACCCUUAUUCUUAGUUGUUUUCCCUUUGGGAUUACCCUCUAAGAAGACUGCCUCGGAUAACGGGGAGGAAGGUGGGGAUGACGUCAAGUCCGCAUGCUCCUUACGUCUAGGGCUACACACGUCCUACAAUGGGGUCGACAAUGGGAUGCAAUAUCGCAAGAUGGAGCCAAUCCCCAAACGGCCUCUCAGUUCGGAUUGUAGUCUGCAACUCGACUACAUGAAGUCGGAAUCGCUAGUAAUGGCAGAUCAGCAUGCUGCCGUGAAUACGUUCCCGGGUCUU
RNAcentral lists this ribosomal RNA (463 nucleotides) under uncultured bacterium. Its description in RNAcentral is "bacterial SSU rRNA". It matches the Rfam family "Bacterial small subunit ribosomal RNA", at positions 924 to 1382 of the family's 1533-position model. The record is from RNAcentral.